GACGAACGCUGGCGGCGUGCUUAACACAUGCAAGUCGAGCGGAAAGGCCCUUCGGGGUACUCGAGCGGCGAACGGGUGAGAACACGUGAGUAACCUGCCCCAGACUUUGGGAUAACCCUCGGAAACGGGGGCUAAUACCGGAUACGACACAGCUUCGCAUGGGGUCUGUGUGGAAAGUUUUUCGGUUUGGGAUGGGCUCGCGGCCUAUCAGCUUGUUGGUGGGGUGAUGGCCUACCAAGGCGACGACGGGUAGCCGGCCUGAGAGGGCGACCGGCCACACUGGGACUGAGACACGGCCCAGACUCCUACGGGAGGCAGCAGUGGGGAAUAUUGCACAAUGGGCGGAAGCCUGAUGCAGCGACGCCGCGUGAGGGAUGACGGCCUUCGGGUUGUAAACCUCUUUCAGCAGGGACGAAGCGUAAGUGACGGUACCUGCAGAAGAAGCGCCGGCCAACUACGUG
This 461-nucleotide ribosomal RNA is filed under the name uncultured bacterium. RNAcentral's name for it is "partial 16S ribosomal RNA". It matches the Rfam family "Bacterial small subunit ribosomal RNA", at positions 28 to 507 of the family's 1533-position model. The record is from RNAcentral.